This 472-nucleotide ribosomal RNA is filed under the name uncultured bacterium. RNAcentral describes it as "bacterial SSU rRNA". It matches the Rfam family "Bacterial small subunit ribosomal RNA", at positions 9 to 526 of the family's 1533-position model. The record is from RNAcentral.
GGGUUUGAUCAUGGCUCAGAACGUACGCUGGCGGCACGCCUUAUACAUGCAAGUCGAACGAAGUAGCAAUACUUAGUGGCAGACGGGUGAGUAACAUGUGGGUAUCUUCCCUUUGGUGAGGAAUAACACGAGGAAACUUGUGCUAAUACCUCAUAAGUCUUUACGGAGAAAGCUUUAUGCGCCAAUGGAUGAGCCCGCACUUGAUUAGUUUGUUGGUGGGGUAAUGGCCUACCAAGACUUUGAUCAAUAGCUGAUCUGAGAGGAUGAUCAGCCACAUUGGGACUGAGACACGGCCCAAACUCCUACGGGAGGCAGCAGUAGGGAAUAUUGCACAAUGGAGGAAACUCUGAUGCAGCGAUGCCGCGUGAGUGAAGAAGGCCUUUGGGUUGUAAAGCUCUUUCGUCGGGGAAGAAAAUGACGGUACCCGAAUAAGAAGGUCCGGCUAACUUCGUGCCAGCAGCCGCGGUAAUAC